This 375-nucleotide RNase P RNA is filed under the name Desulfuromonadales bacterium. Its description in RNAcentral is "RNase P RNA component class A". It matches the Rfam family "Bacterial RNase P class A". Rfam says of the family: Ribonuclease P (RNase P) is a ubiquitous endoribonuclease, found in archaea, bacteria and eukarya as well as chloroplasts and mitochondria. Its best characterised activity is the generation of mature 5'-ends of tRNAs by cleaving the 5'-leader elements of precursor-tRNAs. Lineage: Bacteria; Pseudomonadati; Thermodesulfobacteriota; Desulfuromonadia; Desulfuromonadales. The record is from RNAcentral.
GAAGAAGGCCGGAUGGUCGCCGGUUUGCCGUCAAGGCAGACGGGAGGAAAGUCCGGGCUCCACAGGGCAGGAUGGUCCUUAACGGGGACCGGGGGUGACCCCAGGGAAAGUGCCACAGAGAGAAGACCGCCCGCUCUGCGGGUAAGGGUGAAAGGGUGAGGUAAGAGCUCACCAGACCCGGCGGUGACGUCGGGUGCUCGGUAAACCCCAUCCGGAGCAAGACCAAAUAGAGGAGCGCUUGAGGACGGCCCGUCCGAAGCUCCCGGGUUGGUUGCUUGAGGCCGUCGGCAACGGCGGUCCUAGAGGAAUGGCCAUCACCUGCUUUCGGGUAACCAAAGGUGGGGGACAGAACCCGGCUUAUGGCCUUCUUCAGCC